Molecule: long non-coding RNA, 149 nt
Filed under: Fukomys damarensis (Damara mole-rat)
Lineage: Eukaryota; Metazoa; Chordata; Mammalia; Rodentia; Bathyergidae
Description: lncRNA (ENSFDAG00000021692.1)
Source: RNAcentral
AUUUUCCAGGGUGGAAAUAGCAGAUGAUCAUGACCCCUAGAAAAAGCUGCAUUAAACGACAGUCCAAGCAAUGAAGUAGAAACUAAACGGGAACACAGAUAUUUGCAUAUAAAAACAAAUCAUCAAACCUGGUGAAAAAGAGGAAGGGA